ACAUUUUCCCCUUCUCGCCCUUAGAGUCACAUAUACUCAGGAGCGGAGGAAAUAUCUAGAAGUCAGCCUGGAGUUAGUGGGGAAGAGCGUGACCCCUAAAAGGCAGAGGAGUUUACCCUUUAUUCAAAUAAUAAAUAGACAUUUAAAUAAUCACUAUAUACAGCUGGACAAAGCCACCACGUCACUGAUUUCACACAGUGAUUAAAACCGCUGAAAGCACACACACAUCUACCCCGCACCCCGCCUCCCCACAGAACCGGCCUCCGGCUGGAACGUCCUGUUCUGGGUCUGGGUACAACCGUCUGCAUUUUCCCCUCUCCCUCUGGCUACCCGUCCUUUCUGGAGCACAAAAGACAGUUUGUGAGCAGCACUUCAAAUAAGGACAAUGCCUUUUCCAGAAGCUGAGCCGCACGCCUGCUCACACCUUACUGGAAAGCUGAACACAACUGCCGCAGCUGUGCUUCAGAAAGACUACGGGGUGUGUGUGUAUAAGCGUGAAUGUGUUUAAGGGUGCAUUUGACAGCGCAAGGACGCGACUGUGAGAGCUGAGAGCAUGCGUGUGUGUGCUUGAGGGUAACCCCGUGUGAGUAUAGGCAUGUGUGUGUGUUUGUGAACGUGGGGGUGGGGAGUUAACGUUUCCUUGGGUCUGCAGACUUUCCAGAGACAUGGUGUCUACUUAGAAGAAACAAAAUCAUAAAUGCAGCACCGUGUCCAGUUCUGCACCAGACGGCCACCUUCCUGGUCCCCCCACACCUGCCUGUCACCCGCUGCUCCAACCAGAGCAGCCCGAACCCAACACCCACAGGCGACAACCAACGACAGGGGCCUGCUCCCGGCAGGGGGUCUCCGGGACCCUCAAGAAACUCAGGGGUGGGGCCGAGAGGCAUUUUCUCCGCUGCGCUCCCACCCCCACGAUCGCCAAGGACACGGGUGGCCGCCAAAGAGGCCAGAUGGUGCGGAAGGCAGACCUGCGGGGUGGAGGCCCCGGCGUGGGAGAGGGCGAGGUCGGCGGCUGGCCCCCGCCCCGGGCAGAUGGUCCGCGGAGUCGGGGCGAGGCGGGCCCCUGGCUCACAGAAGGCCGGAGGUGCGCGGUGGCCGUCGGCGGAUCCGGAGGCGGGUGCGCGGUCACAGGGUGCUCAGGUGCGGCAGCGCGUCCAGGGACCCGGCUCGGUCGCGCGCGGCGGCCGCAGACUCCACGCCGCGCAGCCACUCGGUGCACUUGCGCACCAGGCCCUCGUCGGCGGCCGCGGCCUCCUCCUCGUACUCCACGUCGUCGUACUUGUGCCGGUCGUUGAGCAGCGACACCUUGAGCAGCGGGCGCAGAGUCACUGUAUGA
Molecule: long non-coding RNA, 1336 nt
Filed under: Sus scrofa (pig)
Lineage: Eukaryota; Metazoa; Chordata; Mammalia; Artiodactyla; Suidae
Description: lncRNA (ENSSSCG00050002611.1)
Source: RNAcentral